Ictidomys tridecemlineatus (thirteen-lined ground squirrel) is the source of this 132-nucleotide small nucleolar RNA. Its record names the gene SNORA72. It matches the Rfam family "Small nucleolar RNA SNORA72". Rfam says of the family: U72 is a member of the H/ACA class of snoRNAs. The snoRNA gene is located in intron 4 of the ribosomal L30 protein gene in human, mouse and chicken. NCBI's taxonomy places the organism in Eukaryota, Metazoa, Chordata, Mammalia, Rodentia, Sciuridae. The record is from Ensembl.
CUCUGAAUAUUCUCACUGUUCUGAUUUUGUAAUAAUCCGGACAGGCUAAAUUUUCCCUAUAUCAAGAUCAUGCAUGGGUCUCCAUACUUAGUUCUCUCGCUAGGUCUGGUUUUAUAAAUGCUGGUGAUAAAC